GAUGAAGAACGCAGCGAAAUGCGAUACUUGGUGUGAAUUGCAGAAUCCCGUGAACCAUCGAGUCUUUGAACGCAAGUUGCGCCCGAAGCCAUUAGGCCGAGGGCACGCCUGCCUGGGCGUCACACGUCGUUGCCCCCCCAUCUACUCCUUCGGGAUUGCGGGGGGCGGAUGAUGGCCUCCCGUGCGCCUCGCCGCGCGGUUGGCAUAAAUGCCAAGUCCUCGGCGACGCACGCCACGACAAUCGGUGGUUGCGAAACCUCGGUUGCCCGUCGUGUGCGGUCGUCGCGCAUCGAGGGCUCGAAAAAAUUGCCGGGUUCCGGCUCGGCUUUCAACGCGACCCCAGGUCAGGCGGGGUUACCCGCUGAAUUUAAGCAUAUCAAUAAGCUGAGGA
RNAcentral lists this unclassified non-coding RNA (391 nucleotides) under soil metagenome. RNAcentral's name for it is "partial contains 5.8S ribosomal RNA, internal transcribed spacer 2, and large subunit ribosomal RNA". The stretch from base 1 to 122 matches the Rfam family "5.8S ribosomal RNA", at positions 35 to 154 of the family's 154-position model. The record is from RNAcentral.